AGAGUUUGAUCCUGGCUCAGAAUGAACGCUGGCGGCGUGCUUAACACAUGCAAGUCGUACGAGAACGCUUCAGCUUGCUGAAGCUAGUAAAGUGGCGUACGGGUGAGUAACGCGUGGGUAAUCUACCUUCGAAUUGGGGAUAACGUUGCGAAAGUGACGCUAAUACCGGAUAAUAUCAUAGAGACCUUGGUUUUUAUGAUCAAAGAUGGCCUCUCCUUGGAAGCUAUUGUUUGGAGAUGAGCCCGCGUCCCAUUAGCUUGUUGGUGGGGUAAUGGCCUACCAAGGCUACGAUGGGUAGCUGGUCUGAGAGGAUGAUCAGCCACACUGGAACUGACACACGGUCCAGACUCCUACGGGAGGCAGCAGUGAGGAAUUUUGCGCAAUGGGGGAAACCCUGACGCAGCAACGCCGCGUGAGUGAUGAAGGCUUUCGGGUCGUAAAGCUCUGUCAAGUGGGAAGAACUCCCGUGAGGUUAAUACCCUCAUGGUUUGACGGUACCACUGAAGGAAGCACCGGCUAACUCCGUGCCAGCAGCCGCGGUAAUACGGGGGGUGCAAGCGUUAUUCGGAUUUACUGGGCGUAAAGCGCGCGUAGGCGGCCGUUUAAGUCAGAUGUGAAAGCCCGGGGCUCAACCCCGGAAGUGCAUUUGAUACUAUUCGGCUUGAGUAUGGGAGAGGGAAGUGGAAUUCCUGGUGUAGAGGUGAAAUUCGUAAAUAUCAGGAGGAACACCGGUGGCGAAGGCGACUUCCUGGACCAAUACUGACGCUGAGGCGCGAAGGCGUGGGUAGCAAACAGGAUUAGAUACCCUGGUAGUCCACGCAGUAAACGGUGAUCACUAGGUGUAGCGGGUAUUGACCCCUGCUGUGCCGCAGCUAACGCAUUAAGUGAUCCGCCUGGGGAGUACGGCCGCAAGGUUAAAACUCAAAGGAAUUGACGGGGGCCCGCACAAGCGGUGGAGCAUGUGGUUUAAUUCGACGCAACGCGAAGAACCUUACCUGGAUUUGACAUCUCGGGAAUUUCUAUGAAAGUAGAAAGUGCCCUUCGGGGAGCCCGAUGACAGGUGCUGCAUGGCUGUCGUCAGCUCGUGUCGUGAGAUGUUGGGUUAAGUCCCGCAACGAGCGCAACCCCUAUCUUUAGUUACCAGCACGUCGGGUGGGGACUCUAAAGAUACUGCCCCGGUCAACGGGGAGGAAGGUGGGGAUGACGUCAAGUCCUCAUGGCCUUUAUGUCCAGGGCUACACACGUGCUACAAU
This 1253-nucleotide ribosomal RNA is filed under the name metagenome. RNAcentral's name for it is "bacterial SSU rRNA". It matches the Rfam family "Bacterial small subunit ribosomal RNA", at positions 8 to 1231 of the family's 1533-position model. The record is from RNAcentral.